Long non-coding RNA from Topomyia yanbarensis, 1379 nucleotides. RefSeq lists it as uncharacterized. The transcript has 3 exons. Lineage: Eukaryota; Metazoa; Arthropoda; Insecta; Diptera; Culicidae. The record is from RefSeq and is a predicted model, not a curated record.
ACUUUUAUAUUUUUACUGCAGGCUAUUGUUUAAAUAGACCUGGCAUCACUGAUGCUGAAAUGAUUCAUUCAUACAAUGAGGUAUAUAUAGGUGUGGCAGAACACACGGUUUGCUAGUGUUGGCAACCAAAAAUAUGUAAACAAUCCAGAAGCACAACGGGUCGACGUCAUAGCGGUCACACGAUUCAAUGGGAGCGGAACGACCGCUAUGACGAAAGCAAGUCGAUUUAUACUGUGAUCACUCACACAACUCAUGUACGAUUCAUCUUACGAAUACCAAAGUGCCAUCUUUGCCAGACCUGUAUAUACGACAUUGUCAUUCAUAUACCUGUCAAAAAUAUAGAGCAUUGUAGGAAAAUGUAUAACCUCACUUUUCUGACAGUUCGGUGUGCUUGUUUACCUAACACUUGUUUACACGGACUUUUAAAAUUUCUACAGAAAAUUUAGAAUAGGACUUUUUUCAUGAAGAUACAUCAGCGAUUUAGAUUCUAAACUUUUUUUUCAAUAUUACCAAUGAAAUUAGAUGAAUAGUUCUCGGCUCGAUCUUCGAAUCGGUUAAGGUAUUCGCGGAGUGAAAAACUAAUCCAGCGUCGAUGUAUCGAUAAUCGGCAUAGAUUGAUUAUUCACCAGUGAUUAUAGAACCAAAUUUGCCUGGAAGCCAACACAAGCAGAAUCUACCUCGACUGAACAUUCGGUACUCGAAAUAUUUUCAUUGACAUAUUUUCAAUUUCGACGAAAUAUUAUAGAGACGUUGUCUCGAAUGGAUGCGACAGCUCUACCGAGAAAAUCACAAUAUGAACUGCAAUUCGGAACAUUUACUCCAAGCAUCCAUUUCAAGGGAACCUGCCGCAAAUCCGCUUACCCGAUCUGGAACAAGCUGCGUUGACUCAAAAUACUAUUUUCGAUCAAAACUUUAUGGCAGGUUUAUCACUGGAGUGGACAUUGGUGGUAUGGAUGAGCCUUGUGAUACGUCUGUGAAUCUUCUGCUAUCUGAACGAUGCAUUAUUUGUCACGAUUUGCUUGGUCGACAAAUCUGCGAAAAACUUGAUUUUUCAGCAUUGAGGCGUAAACAAGAGCAGAAUUCCUAAAUACGUUGGUGAAGCCAGUUGAAAAUUUUAGUGGAAGGCAAUCCAAUAUAAGUGAUAGGAACGCCCAUCAAGGAGGCACAAAUCUCCAAAUAACAUGGGAAACCUGCCAAGCGAGCCAAUAGCCAAUUUCAUGCUACUUGCAGGUUGCACAGUCAAGGUUAAACCUCAGCGCCUCAAUCAAUCAGAUAUAAAACUAAAUUAAUAAAAUACUUUACUAUACUGACAUGUAAACAACCUCAAUGCUUGUUAAUGAAAUGCUAGAAAAAUAAUCAAAAGCGGCUUUUGGAAUUCA